Drosophila navojoa is the source of this 971-nucleotide long non-coding RNA. Lineage: Eukaryota; Metazoa; Arthropoda; Insecta; Diptera; Drosophilidae. The record is from RefSeq and is a predicted model, not a curated record.
GUUACCCACAAAAACAUAUAUACACACACACACACUAGGGCACAUUAUUUAUUACGAAGUCAAUAAGUCGAAAUUGCUAUAUUUUCCGCAGUUUUUGUUGUUUAAACCUAGUUUCUGCUGAAAGCUAAAGCGACCAUAAAAUCGAAAAUGAAUAGGGAAUAAUUUUGUCAUCAUAUUCUAGUUUAUUUUGCGCGGUACAGUCUGAAAUCAAUUGUUUCCUUAAAAUCAAAAAGUGCAAACUGCAGUUAUCUGCGAGUAAGUGCUAGAAAUGGAAUCAUUAAAAUGUCAACAGAAAGAGAAGACAGGAUAGCGUCUCUUUCCCGCUCUUUGAUUAAAUGUGUGUGUGUGUGUAUAUGUGUGGAGGAGAUGUUUCGUGGACACGUUGCAAUUGAGUAAUGUAGUAUAUAUCAAUCAAUGUAUUUUCUUUUGUUCUCUUGCAGUUAACUAAGAUGGCCAUCGGAUGGGUAAAAAGUAAACUCUAGAGUUUAAGUUUUAAAAAUCGGUUUAGGCGCGAUCAGAAUCGUGCCCAAACCGAUUUUCGAAACAAAAUUUAAAAUUAAAAAAAAAAAAAAAAACUGUUAAACGUUAUACGAGUUUUAAACGAUCAAUCAGAAAAAAUUUAUUUAAAUUAAAAUCGAUCGUUUGAAAGGCGUAUGUGUUCGACUCGGGUAGAUAGACGUUAUCCGCGCCGUAACACGAAAUAGAGCGAGAUAAAAAAAAAAAACAAACAAAAUAUAGAAUAAAUAUAUAUAUAAAAACAAUCAAUAUGAUUCAGAGUUGUGUAACGUUAUACAAGCCGAAAUGAAAAAAAAAAAACAACAACAAACUACUUUUAAAGGCAUGUAAAAUGUUGCAACAAAAAAAAAAAAAAAAAAAAAACAAAUUGUAAAUAAAUAAAAAGGUAACGUUUUACGAGCCGAGAAAAUAAAUGUAAAAUGUAGGAAAUUGUAACGUUAUACGCGCCUUAACAA